AACGAACGCUGGCGGCAUGCCUAACACAUGCAAGUCGAACGAGACCUUCGGGUCUAGUGGCGCACGGGUGCGUAACGCCUGGGAACCUGCCCUUAGGUUCGGAAUAACUCCCUGUAAGGGGUGCUAAUACCGGAUAAUGUCUUCGGACCAAAGAUUUAUCGCCUUUGGAUGGGCCCGCGUUGGAUUAGCUAGUUGGUAGGGUAAAAGCCUAUCAAUGCGACGAUGCAGAGCUGGUCGGGGAGGAUGAUCAGCCACACUGGGGCUGAGACACGGACCAGACUGCUACGGGAGGCAGCAGUGGGGAAUAUUGGGCGAGGGGCGAAAGCGUGAUCCAGCAGUGCGGGGGAAGUGAUGAAUGGCGUAGUAUUGUAAAGCUCUUUUACCCGGGAUGAUAAUGACAGUACCGGGAGAAGAAGCUCCGGCUAACUCCGUG
RNAcentral lists this ribosomal RNA (433 nucleotides) under uncultured bacterium. RNAcentral's name for it is "partial 16S ribosomal RNA". It matches the Rfam family "Bacterial small subunit ribosomal RNA", at positions 29 to 507 of the family's 1533-position model. The record is from RNAcentral.